Long non-coding RNA from Ctenopharyngodon idella (grass carp), 7286 nucleotides. RefSeq lists it as uncharacterized. Lineage: Eukaryota; Metazoa; Chordata; Actinopteri; Cypriniformes; Xenocyprididae. The transcript is spliced from 2 exons. The record is from RefSeq and is a predicted model, not a curated record.
UUUGCACAUUACAUUCAAUAGAUAAUAAUUUCAUAAAAAACAUUUGUAAUUGGUUUAGGAAAGGUGUCAUUAUACAUGUUGAACUGUGUUCUCUUUGCAUUUUCAGCAUCUUUUCCAGCAGGUGUCGCAAACAGUGAUUCAUUUUGUCAAGCAAUUAGUACAAUUGAUUCAAAGUUGCAAAAAGCUUUGUCUCCCCCAUCAUGAGCUUAUUUUUACUCUACUAAUGACAAUUUUUCCAAACUAAGUUGAAGCAGAAUGAAACACUGUGCCUCCACACAGCAGUGGUUUGUCAUUACUGAAUAAAUUAAUAUUGUUGAAUGAACUGGUUGAGUGAAUGAUUCAAUGAUUCACUCAUAAAGAAAAGCUGUUGACUGUUUAGUUGCCGAAUGAAUCUGCUGUUGUUGCACUAAUCGGUGAAUUGCAUAAUUCUCUCAAAAUUGAUAUCGGAGAGGCUUCUGAGGUAGCAUAACGGUCUAAUGAUCUGCAACAAAAUAGAGGGAAAUUUGUUGAUAACUAAGCAAAUAUUUAAUUACUACAAUACUUAUUUCUUGAUAGAAAUGAAAUAAAAGUUAAAAAAAGCUGUUCCGGAACAUACAUGUGUAAACAAACUGAUAACAAUCCGCAACUUUUAGAUGCCAUUUUAUUUUUUAGCUCAGCCGUCACGGAAUCGAAUGCACAGAGUGUGAUAUCAAAGGCAAUAAAGGAUACAUCUAUGCUAGCUUCAAAAAUCGAUCAGAUGAAGCAAUCUCAGUAGACAGGAUAUGACACGAUUAUUAUAAUUGAAUGGUUGGUUGUAAGAAACAUUUUUCAGCUUUCGCAUGCAGCCAGUGAUUAAUUCUUAAAGUUGCCUCUCCUGGUGUAAGGUUGCCCCCUGCGGAAACAGGGGCCGUUUACACAACACUGUUUUCAACAUAAAACAGAAAACUUUUUACAAAUUUUGCCACUUAAUUUACAUGACAAUGGCGUUUUGGGCAACCCAGUCUCAUUAGAAAAGCGUACCUGUGGGAACGUUUUCGCGAGUCGCAAAAUACGUACCAAUACAUACAUAUCGCUGCAGUUUCGAUGUGAAAUGUCCACUGAGUGGCGCUAAAAGCGUGUUCAUUUUUUUUUUUUUUUUGCUGGAACAGAUAAACGUGAAUAUGGUACGUUUUUAUGACGUUGGUUUUUAUACGAAUCACCGUAGUUCUGAUUUGACAUUUGCACUCCAUUGCGUUUUGAAAUAACGUACCACCAACACUACACCUAAACCUACCCGAUAGUGUUAACAAAAGCAAAUGUGACAUAAAAAGCAUCCGUCAUCGUGCCAUUUCAGCUUGUUUAGAUCUCUCUUUGAGCUCUCUUAUCGUGACUCGCCUUUCACGGAAUUCGUACCCAGGGUUCCUCGUCUUAAGUACAACUCCGUGUCAGCUGAGCUACCGAGCAAACUUGUUAUGUUAGAAAAGCGAAACAUAUGGAGCUGGUUAAGCGAUGCAAAGUCCAAAAUAUAUUCGUUUAUAAAUUGUGCACUGUGGUAAAAAAGCUUUUUUUAAGUCAUAACAUAAUAUUGUGCAAGGAAACGUGAAAACGAGUCUUUAUUAAUCCAUAAUCUGACCCCGUAAUUGCAACUGUGUAUGAAAACGAUCAAAAGUGCUUGCCGUUUUACUGCCUCUAGCGUUCAUUUCUGUUGGAAACUGCAGUGAUAUGUACGCAUUGGUACAUAUUUUGGCGACUCGCGAAAACGUUCCCAUAGGUACGUAUUUCCUAUGAGACCGGGUUGCUUUGGGGGGCCUGAAAAUGCAAACUUUUUGUUUUUGAAAAUAAUACCAUUAUCAUCUGCAUGUACAAAAGUACAAAAAUGUGCAUUUGUAUUACAUGUUCAGUCUAUAGGUGCAUAGUUUUUCUUUACAAAGUGACAUCGCCAACUACUGGCCUGGCAUGCAUAAUACAGCGUUUUUAAUAGUUUCCGCGGAUCCAUGUGAAUGGGGAUCAAUUUGACAGCGUUGUCGUCUGUACGUGAAAAACGCGAAGGAAAAACUUUUCUGUUUUUAGUACAUCGUUUUUGUGUAAACGUACCCUGAAAAUCUUUUGUCUGUCUGAAAUGUGCAAACACGGACAAGCGCAGUGAUAAAAGGGAGAAGUCCCAGUAGUAUUGGACUUUUAUAUUAGCACUCUUGAAACAUUGCUUAAGCGAGGAAAAAAAAAAAAAAAAAAAACGAGAACUGAUAUAUAGGCCUAUACUGUAUAUAGGAUGUCAUUUUGUAUGGACCCUCAUGUGUGUUGACAUUUGCUGAUUUUUGUAAUCAGGUAAUCAAAUCAGAUUAGAAAGCAACACAAUUUACCAAAAAUAAAAGGCAGGAAAUCUAAACCAGGAACACUUUGUUUUAUAGCAGCAUCAAUCAAAACAUCUCCUUAGUAGACAGUCCAACAAGUGUUCACAUCCUUUAAAAAAGCAGGUUUAUUAAUAGCACAUUUGAGUGUGUUUUAAAGUAAAGGGUCUUAAAGUAAAGUAUUUUGAGAUCCUCAGAGCCAGCUUAAUAUGACACCAAUAAACCACAAUGACAACAUCCAGAUGCUACAUUAGGGCUAUGCUAGCAGUUAAAAGUUCCUGUGUUUGCCGGGUUCUGUGAGUAUUUUGGGGUGUGUAAUGGCUUCCUCCCGCACACACUGCUGUAAUUGGCACGCUGUGAAAAUGAACGUCUGUGACCUUGAGUUAAGCAAGUGCUCUGUUAAUCUGCUGUCAGCUGACUACCUUCAAAAGCAGCUUAUCCUUUUGUUCCCUUGGCUCGACAGCCAUUAUUUUUAUCCUAACGCCAUCUGACAGUUUGACUGCGAUUGUCAGUGAGGGUCACUCUGCUUGUGUGUGAAUGGCAUAAACCUGGUUUGGAUCAGACAGGCAUACUGAAAAACAAAGCAUACUCUCACAUGGGCUCAGUUUAACAGAGGUCGCAGCCGAGAGAAGCAGAGAUCUGUCGGUUUGUUGUAAUGGAUCAUUUUCAGUCAUGGGAAACAGAAGCAAGUGACGCUUCUGUCACUGUUGUUGUUGAUGCCUGAAAAGCGAAGCAGGGGAAAUGCUAAUGCAGAGAGAGUCUUGAAGAAUGUGGUGUGUAAAAUUCAGCUAGCCACUUAUAAAAGGAAAUAUUAUUAAUCCUUACACCAGGGUUAAGGAUCUGAAAAAACCCUUAACUAUAAAUAUUAAACUUUGGUACAUAACUCAUCCAGCACAGUUUGUGUUACGCACAUAAAUUAUAUCAUAUGGCUUGGCUUGUUGAGGAAGGUUGUGAUAUUUCUUUUGUAAGUGAGUUUUUUGCCAAUAAAUCUAGCACCUAGCAACCAGAAAAUGUUAGCUACAUGCUAAAAACCACUCAAAACCCAUUAGCAACUAUAUAUCAACACCCUCAAAAUAAUUUUUGCAGUGAAGUACCACUUACUAUGGCAGUGUUUUAGUGCCAUGUAGUGUUGCAGUGGAGACAAGCUCAUUCAAGUCUGUUUCUGAGUUAAUGAUAAGACCAAAACCAUAGUCUUGGACCAAGACUCAAGAGUCCAAAAGAGUCCAUAUUUGUCAUGGGCGUAGGAGCAUGUGAACCCUUCUUUGGUUUUGGUCUUGAGUUGGACUCAAAGUAGCUGGUAAAUAGGCCUUUCACAAGAAUAAACUGAAAAUUUUGAGAGUAAAGUCAUAUUGCAAAAUUAAUGAAGUUAUAAACACGUAAUCCAAGAGGAAAGACAAUGUAAAACUUUACAUGUUGCAUUUAUAUUCUGGGCUCAUCAGCUUGACUGUUGAUAGUGUUUAUUAUCAAUAAGGUGUAUUUAGUCUUCCAUUUAUCACUGCACAAUGCCAGGUUCAACAUUUUAGAAGGAUGUCCCCUUUGAGGUUACUUUUAAAAUUUUAUUCUUAUAAUAUUACUACUUUAAUCUCGCAAAAUAACAACUUUAUUCUUUAGACCAACCCUGCUCCUGGAGGGCUACAGUUCCAACUUCAGUUCCAACCCCAGGCCCGAAGUGACCAUUGGGAGAAUCAGGAGAAUUCCUGGUGGGCUGCUCAUAAAGUGGGCCGCCCCAACCCUAAACCUACCCUAAAGGCCGGAACACACCAAGCCGACGGUUGGCCGUCGGGCAGUUUUUGUUCGUCGGCCGACUAAGUUUUCUCAGUGUGUUCUGCACCGUCGGCUGAAGUUGGUCCUCGUCUGCUUUUUUCAUUGGCGCUCGUCGGUCCGUCGGGCCAUCUGAUCAUUCUGAUUGGCUGUUCAGCUACUGCCACCUGCUGGUACGGAAAGGCAUUUCAUCUUGCGCAGGCGCAGAACGGACGUGCUACUUGGCCGUCGGGUGUCGGCCAAGUAGCUCUGUGAAGUGUUAUUGUUCAAUUUUAACAUAUUAAAACUGAACUUUGGACACAGACGCUGCCGACGUGAGCCAACCCCGCAGUCUGCUUUCGUCACCACUAGUUCGUCGGCGUCUGUUUGGUGUGUUCCGGCCUUAAAACAAUGCAAAUAUAGUGAUUUCUGAUAGGUAGCAUUAUUCGUCAAAACACCGGCACAGUAACACUUUGACAUAAAGGCAGUUUCACAUGGGACAUGGAAAGCGAAGUCUGUAGUUAAUUUUUAAUGAGAGACAAACAAAAUUGGCAAAUCGCAGGCGGUUCUAGUGGUGAAGAUGGUGUGUAAGCUGUGCUUGUGCACCCAAAAUCCCGUCACUUGCGCAUGCUCUUCGUAGCGGUUAUAGCCUAAAUAUUAUUAGCCAAUAUGGUAGGGGACACGUAGUGUUUCUUACAAAGUGACAUCGCCAACUACUGGCCUGGCAGCAUAAAACAGCAUUUUUAGUCAUUUUCGUAGAUCCGUGUGAACGGGGAUCGUUUUUGACAAUGUUGUUGUCUUUACGGUAACUGGAAAUCUGGUAACACUUUAUUUUGAUGGUCCCUUUUGAACAUUCUGUUGAUUAUAAGUAACUUGUCAACUAACUCUCAUUAGAGGAUUAGUAGGCUCAAUAUCUGCUAACUCUUUAUUGUAAUGGUCCCCCAACAGACAUUCUACUGACUAUAAGUAAAUUUGCAAGUACAUGUCAACUUAUUCUAACCCUAACCCUACCAGUCUACUGAUACUAACACUCUAAUAAUGAGAGUUAGUUGACAUGUAGGUGCUAUGUUACUUAUAAUCAACAGAAUGUGUUAAAGGGUACCAACAAAAUAAAGUGAAACCAGAAAACCUUUACAUUUUUAGAACAUUGUUGUCGUGUAAAUGUACCCGAAACUUUACAGAACGGUAAACUUCCAGGAACAGGGUUGGCUAUGGAUUUAUUUUCAAAAUUGAACUUAUUUUUUUAGUUUAAAGUGGUACAAAAAUGCCAUUGCAACACACUAUCUUAAUGAAAUGUAAAAAUCUACUUUGUAAAUGUAAACCAUUUUCCAUAUACACCAUCUAGGUUCAAGAAACCAGCUGAUUAUUGUGUCUCUGGAAGAACAUAACUCCCUCCAGGCUGUGUGGACAUGGUAACCACACGCAUGUUGUGGUUGAUGUUCCUAAGGAACCGACGUAUGGCUGUGAACUUUUCAUGACGAAUGUUGCUGUGUGGUUGCUAAGGUGUUCUGGAUGGCAAUUGCCAUGUAGUUGCCAGAUGGUUCGUUACUGGCCAAAGUCAACAGUCCCAAGACUCUCUGAUAUUCUGACCUCUUUAAAAUAAACCUACGGGAUAUUUCCACCAUGCAAAAACUGCGAUUCAAGUUAGAAAAGCUCAUUACAGGCUUCUCAGAGAGGUUUUCAACCCCUGCCCAAGGGUGACCCCAUCAGUGAAGGGAGUUUCUCUGCCCCAGGGUCACAAGAUCUCAGCCUGGCAUCAUGGCAGACUCUACAAACAUCCGUUGCUAUGUAUAAUCAAAAAACAUUACAGAAACAACUCCUCCUGAAAACCUAAAAUGAUUGUCUGUCAUAUCUUUUGCCUCAGAGCUCUUAAUGGAACAGUAAAUGUCAUCUUGUGAUAUUGUCUGUGAAAUAUAUGUGGAAAUUUAAGUUUAUAGUCUGAUAAUCUAACUGUUAGAAGAAAUCCAUUUAGCUACAGUAAAGCAAUAAAGUCUUUCACUAUUUGAAUCAAUUGGUCCUAACUGGUUCAUUGUAAAUGGUCUUGGCCCACCAUCAACAAUUUAUUUGAGCUUAUAAUUGUACAAAGUCAUGUAUCCACUGCAGGAACUUUCCCCAGGAACUAGGGACUUUGGGGUAGUACUCGGUGUGUGUUUCAGCUGCAGGGACCAGACCUUUAAAUGAAGUUCUGGGUAAAAAUUUCCCCUUCAGAAAGUCCCUGCUCACGAGGUAGUACUUUUUCAAAGUUCAGGAACUUUCGGAGGUGGGACUUGGCCGCUUAAAAUGUUGAUUGGUUGACUCCACGCAGCAUUUUAUUUCCACAGUAAGUGUGCAGUAAGAAUUGUUUGCUAUUCAAAUCAACAAUGGAGUUCUAAAAAAAAAAAUAUAUAUAUAUAUUCAACCAAUGCUGAGGUUCAGGCUUUAUUGAGCUUAUACGCAGAGGAUGAAAUCCAGCGGAAACUGGAAAGUUGCACGCAGUCCUACAUCACCGCCUAAUCUUUACAAUACUUCAGACCACAAUGGAAACUCAAACAGCAACAGGUCUGGGGGAAAAAAAGUUCCUGGUAAUUUUAGUGGAAACGUGGCUUAAGACAACACUUAUUGGUAUUGCUUGGAUUAGAUAGUCUUAUAUAACCUAAUGUGUUUAGUUUUACAGCAUCUACAACAUCAUAGUUUUCUUUUUUCUCAUGAACCUAGUGCAUAAUAUUAUAUGCACUUAUAUCAUUAAUAAGCAUGUGUGAUAGAGCUGUUGGUACUAGAUCAGUGACUAUAGGACAUGAAAUUUUACACAAACCUGCAGCUAGCCAUGAUCGGUGUGAACUAACAGAGGGAAACCCCUCUUCUGAAACAAAGAAUGUUUACAUAUUUUUGCCCAUAUAUAUAUAUAAAUACACUAAAAUUGAAAAAAAGAUGACAGUCAUACACUUGCUGGCCAUUUUAUUGAUGUUAUUUUACAGUGGAACCAAUGAUAACAGAAUGGAAACCAGCACUUAAAGGCAAAAUUAACAAAAAAAUAAAAAUAAAAAAUAAAGUGUUUUCUACAUGCUAUAUCUGAAACUAAUUCAAUCAUGCUCGUUUGGAAAAAAAAAAAGUUACUUUAAUAAAAACAUACAAUUAAAAUAAAAUUAAUGACUUACAAUAUACUUCACCAUUAACUUCAUUUUAAAUGUACCUUCCAUUGGUUUUCUUCCAUGCACAAUUUCUAACAAUAUAUUUAUUUUUAUUUAUAUAUAUAUAUAUAUA